AUGCAUGCUUGUUUGAUUGAGCCUAUGUUAUUUGGUUGUUCUCGCAUCAUAUGCCUCCAUACUAUGAAAUGCUCCCUUGUACUUUCUUAUGAUGAGCAUGAUGCAUACACUUGUUGGCUAUCUUACCACACGAAUGAUAGGCUUUGCACUUCCGCUAACCUCAUUUGCUUUUCCGACUGUUUGUCAUGUUCUUUUGUUUUGAAGGAUUCACAAGGCAGUACGAUCAUGAGACAUUUUGGUUAUGAGAAGGCAUACAUGAUGUGCAACUCCAUCAUCCUUGACAAACUCCUAAAGGUGACCUCCUUCCAUUUGAGCCAUCCUCACGUAUGCAUAUUGGAUGGGUCAUUCUUUCAUUGUUGUCUCCUUCUUCUUGUCUACAUGAUAUCUAUUGGAUGGAGACACGACAUUGGAGAUGGACCUCUAUGGACCUUCAAGUUGAGGAGCGCUCGGACUUAUUGA
This 459-nucleotide ribosomal RNA is filed under the name Triticum aestivum (bread wheat). Its description in RNAcentral is "partial small subunit ribosomal RNA". The record is from RNAcentral. Lineage: Eukaryota; Viridiplantae; Streptophyta; Magnoliopsida; Poales; Poaceae.